RNAcentral lists this long non-coding RNA (274 nucleotides) under Vigna radiata. RNAcentral describes it as "long non-coding RNA (VRAD_LNC001217)". The record is from RNAcentral. Lineage: Eukaryota; Viridiplantae; Streptophyta; Magnoliopsida; Fabales; Fabaceae.
UCGGGUGGUAGGGUUACCCCUUCCUUCCUUCUGAGUUGUUUCAUCUUAGGUCUCAAGCCGGAGAUCCGUCGUGAGGUGGUCGCCCAACAACCCCCAACACUAUCUCAUGCGGUCGGCUUAGCAAGGUUGCAUGAAGAAAAAAAUAUGGGAUUCAACCGUGUUCAGAAGGUUAAGCCAAUGUUUCCUUGGCCUCCUUCUCUCUCACUCGCACCAUUACUUCCCCUAUCUAGCCACCAAUCGUUAAAACCCUUCCCUCACUUCUACCCUCACCCCC